This 433-nucleotide ribosomal RNA is filed under the name uncultured bacterium. Its description in RNAcentral is "partial 16S ribosomal RNA". It matches the Rfam family "Bacterial small subunit ribosomal RNA", at positions 29 to 507 of the family's 1533-position model. The record is from RNAcentral.
AACGAACGCUGGCGGCAUGCCUAACACAUGCAAGUCGAACGACACCUCCGUAUCUAGUUGCGCACGCGUGCGUCACGCGUCGGAACGUGCCCUUAUGCUCCGGAUAACUCCUCUUAGUGGGGGCUAAUACCGGGUAAUGUCUGCUAACCAAACAUUUAUCGCCUUGGGAUGGGCCCGCGUUGGACUAGCUAGGUGGGAGGGUAAAAGCCGACCAAGGCGAGGAUCCAUAGCUGGUCUGAGGGGAUGAUCAGCCACUCUGGGACUGAGACACGGCCCAGACUCUUACGGGAGGCAGCAGUGGGGAAUAUUGGAAAAUGGGCGAAAGGCUGAUCCAGCAAUGCCGGGUGAGUGAUGAAGGUCUUAGGGUUGUAAAGCUCUUUUACCCGGGAUGAUAAUGACAGUACCGGGAGAAUAAGCACCGGCUAACUUCGUG